RNAcentral lists this non-coding RNA (47 nucleotides) under Trypanosoma brucei brucei. The record is from RNAcentral. Lineage: Eukaryota; Euglenozoa; Kinetoplastea; Trypanosomatida; Trypanosomatidae.
AAUCAAUAACAGAUCAUGACGGUAUAGAGAUAGAAGUUAUAUGUUAU